UACGUAGGAGGCGAGCGUUGUCCGGAAUUACUGGGCGUAAAGAGCGCGUAGGUGGCGCGAUACGACCGGUGUGAAAUCCUCCGGCUCAACUGGAGGGGGUCACUGGUAACGGUCGUGCUAAGAGUGCAGGAGAGGGACGUGGAACUCCGGGAGUAGCGGUGAAAUGCGUAGAGACCCGGAGGAACACCAGUGGCGAAGGCGGCGUCCUGGCCCUG
RNAcentral lists this ribosomal RNA (215 nucleotides) under uncultured bacterium. RNAcentral describes it as "partial 16S ribosomal RNA". It matches the Rfam family "Bacterial small subunit ribosomal RNA", at positions 524 to 736 of the family's 1533-position model. The record is from RNAcentral.